RNAcentral lists this ribosomal RNA (497 nucleotides) under uncultured bacterium. Its description in RNAcentral is "partial 16S ribosomal RNA". It matches the Rfam family "Bacterial small subunit ribosomal RNA", at positions 28 to 507 of the family's 1533-position model. The record is from RNAcentral.
GAUGAACGCUGGCGGCGUGCCUAAUACAUGCAAGUCGAGCGAACAGACGAUGAGCUUGCUCCUCUGACGUUAGCGGCGGACGGGUGAGUAACACGUGGAUAACCUACCUAUAAGACUGGGAUAACUUCGGGAAACCGGAGCUAAUACCGUAUAAUAUAUUAAACCUCAUGGUUCAAUAGUGAAAGACGGUUUUGCUGUCACUUAUAGAUGGAUCCGCGCCGCAUUAGCUAGUUGGUAAGGUAACGGCUUACCAAGGCGACGAUGCGUAGCCGACCUGAGAGGGUGAUCGGCCACACUGGAACUGAGACACGGUCCAGACUCCUACGGGAGGCAGCAGUAGGGAAUCUUCCGAAAUGGGCGAAAGCCUGACGGAGCAACGCCGCGUGAGUGAUGAAGGUCUUCGGAUCGUAAAACUCUGUUAUUAGGGAAGAACAAAUGUGUAAGUAACUAUGCACGUCUUGACGGUACCUAAUCAGAAAGCCACGGCUAACUACGUG